RNAcentral lists this ribosomal RNA (274 nucleotides) under uncultured bacterium. Its description in RNAcentral is "partial 16S ribosomal RNA". It matches the Rfam family "Bacterial small subunit ribosomal RNA", at positions 523 to 796 of the family's 1533-position model. The record is from RNAcentral.
AUACAGAGGGUGCAAGCGUUAAUCGGGAUUACUGGGCGUAAAGCGCGCGUAGGCGGUUUAAUCAGUCGGAUGUGAAAGCCCCGGGCUCAACCUGGGAACUGCAUUCGAUACUGUUAAGCUAGAGUAUGGUAGAGGGAAGUGGAAUUCCAGGUGUAGCGGUGAAAUGCGUAGAUAUCUGGAGGAACAUCAGUGGCGAAGGCGACUUCCUGGACCAAUACUGACGCUGAGGUGCGAAAGCGUGGGGAGCAAACAGGAUUAGAUACCCUAGUAGUCC